GAUGAACGCUGGCGGCGUGCCUAAUACAUGCAAGUAGAACGCUGAAGGAGGAGCUUGCUCUUCUGGAUGAGUUGCGAACGGGUGAGUAACGCGUAGGUAACCUGCCUGGUAGCGGGGGAUAACUAUUGGAAACGAUAGCUAAUACCGCAUGACAACAGUUAUUGCAUGAUAACUGUUUAAAAGGGGCAACUGCUCCACUACCAGAUGGACCUGCGUUGUAUUAGCUAGUUGGUGAGGUAACGGCUCACCAAGGCGACGAUACAUAGCCGACCUGAGAGGGUGAUCGGCCCCACUGGGACUGAGACACGGCCCAGACUCCUACGGGAGGCAGCAGUAGGGAAUCUUCGGCAAUGGACGGAAGUCUGACCGAGCAACGCCGCGUGAGUGAAGAAGGUUUUCGGAUCGUAAAGCUCUGUUGUAAGAGAAGAACGAGUGUGAGAGUGGAAAGUUCACACUGUGACGGUAUCUUACCAGAAAGGGACGGCUAACUACGUG
RNAcentral lists this ribosomal RNA (495 nucleotides) under uncultured bacterium. Its description in RNAcentral is "partial 16S ribosomal RNA". It matches the Rfam family "Bacterial small subunit ribosomal RNA", at positions 28 to 507 of the family's 1533-position model. The record is from RNAcentral.